RNAcentral lists this small nuclear RNA (107 nucleotides) under Dasypus novemcinctus (nine-banded armadillo). The record is from RNAcentral. Lineage: Eukaryota; Metazoa; Chordata; Mammalia; Cingulata; Dasypodidae.
GUGCUCGCUUCAGCAACACAUAUACUAAAAUUGAAACAAUACAGAGACGAUUAGCAUGGCCUCUAUGCAAGGAUGACAUGCAAAUUCAUGAAGAGUUCCAUAUUUUU